UGGGGAAUUUUGGACAAUGGGGGAAACCCUGAUCCAGCCAUUCCGCGUGAGUGAAGAAGGCCUUCGGGUUGUAAAGCUCUUUCGGCAGGAACGAAACGGUUUGGGCUAAUACCCCAGACUACUGACGGUACCUGAAGAAGAAGCACCGGCUAACUACGUGCCAGCAGCCGCGGUAAUACGUAGGGUGCGAGCGUUAAUCGGAUUUACUGGGCGUAAAGCAUGCGCAGGCGGCGGUUCAAGUCAGGUGUGAAAUCCCCGAGCUUAACUUGGGAAUUGCGCUUGAAACUAGAUCGCUAGAGUACGGCAGAGGGGGGUAGAAUUCCACGUGUAGCAGUGAAAUGCGUAGAGAUGUGGAGGAAUACCGGUGGCGAAGGCGGCAUCCUGGACCAUUACUGACGCUGAGGCGCGAAAGCUAGGGGAGCAAACGGGGAUUAGAUACCCAGGUAGUCCCUGAGCGGGCUGGCAAGGCGCAU
Molecule: ribosomal RNA, 473 nt
Filed under: uncultured bacterium
Lineage: Bacteria
Description: bacterial SSU rRNA
Rfam family: Bacterial small subunit ribosomal RNA
Source: RNAcentral